Molecule: ribosomal RNA, 900 nt
Filed under: uncultured archaeon
Lineage: Archaea
Description: bacterial SSU rRNA
Rfam family: Archaeal small subunit ribosomal RNA
Source: RNAcentral
GUGCCAGCAGCCGCGGUAAAACCAGCACCUCAAGUGGUCAGGAUGAUUAUUGGGCCUAAAGCAUCCGUAGCCUGUUUUGUAAGUUUCCGGUUAAAUCCAUUAGCUCAACUAAUGGGCUGCCGAAAAUACUGCAAAACUAGGGAGUGGGAGAGGUAGACGGUACUCGGUAGGAAGGGGUAAAAUCCUUUGAUCUAUUGAUGACCACCUGUGGCGAAGGCGGUCUACCAGAACACGUUCGACGGUGAGGGAUGAAAGCUGGGGGAGCAAACCGGAUUAGAUACCCGGGUAGUCCCAGCUGUAAACGAUGCAGACUCGGUGAUGCCCUGGCUUGUGGCCAGUGCAGUGCCGCAGGGAAGCCGUUAAGUUUGCCGCCUGGGAAGUACGUACGCAAGUAUGAAACUUAAAGGAAUUGGCGGGGGAGCACCACAAGGGGUGAAGCCUGCGGUUCAAUUGGAGUCAACGCCAGAAAUCUUACCCGAAGAGACAGCAGAAUGAAGGUCAAGCUGGAGACUUUACCAGACAAGCUGAGAAGUGGUGCAUGGCCGUCGCCAGCUCGUGCCGUGAGAUGUCCUGUUAAGUCAGGUAACGAGCGAGAUCCCUGCCUCUAGUUGCCACCAUUACUCUCCGGAGUAGUGGGGCGAAUUAGCGGGACCGCCGUAGUUAAUACGGAGGAAGGAAGGGGCCACGGCAGGUCAGUAUGCCCUGAAACUUUGGGGCCACACGCGGGCUGCAAUGGUAGUGACAGUGGGUUCCGAAUCCGAAAGGUGGAGGUAAUCCUCAAACACUACCACAGUUAUGAUUGAGGGCUGCAACUCGUCCUCAUGAAUAUGGAAUCCCUAGUAACUGCGUGUCAUUAUCGCGCGGUGAAUACGUCCCUGCUCCUUGCACACACUGCCCGUC